This 552-nucleotide long non-coding RNA is filed under the name Homo sapiens (human). RNAcentral's name for it is "HSALNT0048761". The record is from RNAcentral. Lineage: Eukaryota; Metazoa; Chordata; Mammalia; Primates; Hominidae.
ACUCCCUGAGCCGUGGUGCCAGGGCCACCCAAGGCUGGGGAGGAUGGGGAAGGGGGCGGCAAGCCCUCUUCUUGCAGGAGUCCCCGCUGAGCUCCCUUCACCAGGGGCUAGGUGAAGGGAGCGAGGCCAACCAGAAGCCCUAGUGGAGAGCCCAUCCAGGGCAGGGGUUCCAAGGAGGACAAAAAAGCCGGUUAGUGAAGGUGCGCUCUGCGCCAGGGACUGUGCCGGCAGACACAGGCACUACUGACACCGCCCCCAGCCCUUCGGAGGAGUCCUCGGCUCCUCAUCUCCAGCUCCAGCCCCUUUCCAGCCGGCUGGUGGGCGGCUGGGAGUGGGGACACUGGAUCGGAGGGGACCCUUCACGGGAGUACUCGCUGCCCUCACUCGUCUCGGAACGCGGCUGGACCCGGAGUCCCCGACCGCAGCCCGCGCACGACCCCCGGGAGCCUGUCUCCGCGGCCGCCGACCCACGUCCGCGCUGCCGCCCCACUGCCAGGUGGCCCGAGAGAUGCAGGAGGAAGGAGGGGCGCGCGGGGCGGGCGGAGGAGGGUG